This 2892-nucleotide ribosomal RNA is filed under the name Shigella dysenteriae. RNAcentral's name for it is "bacterial LSU rRNA". It matches the Rfam family "Bacterial large subunit ribosomal RNA". The record is from RNAcentral. Lineage: Bacteria; Pseudomonadati; Pseudomonadota; Gammaproteobacteria; Enterobacterales; Enterobacteriaceae.
ACUAAGCGUACACGGUGGAUGCCCUGGCAGUCAGAGGCGAUGAAGGACGUGCUAAUCUGCGAUAAGCGUCGGUAAGGUGAUAUGAACCGUUAUAACCGGCGAUUUCCGAAUGGGGAAACCCAGUGUGAUUCGUCACACUAUCAUUAACUGAAUCCAUAGGUUAAUGAGGCGAACCGGGGGAACUGAAACAUCUAAGUACCCCGAGGAAAAGAAAUCAACCGAGAUUCCCCCAGUAGCGGCGAGCGAACGGGGAGCAGCCCAGAGCCUGAAUCAGUGUGUGUGUUAGUGGAAGCGUCUGGAAAGGCGUGCGAUACAGGGUGACAGCCCCGUACACAAAAAUGCACAUAUUGUGAGCUCGAUGAGUAGGGCGGGACACGUGGUAUCCUGUCUGAAUAUGGGGGGACCAUCCUCCAAGGCUAAAUACUCCUGACUGACCGAUAGUGAACCAGUACCGUGAGGGAAAGGCGAAAAGAACCCCGGCGAGGGGAGUGAAAAAGAACCUGAAACUGUGUACGUACAAGCAGUGGGAGCACGCUUAGGCGUGUGACUGCGUACCUUUUGUAUAAUGGGUCAGCGACUUAUAUUCUGUAGCAAGGUUAACCGAAUAGGGGAGCCGAAGGGAAACCGAGUCUUAACUGGGCGUUAAGUUGCAGGGUAUAGACCCGAAACCCGGUGAUCUAGCCAUGGGCAGGUUGAAGGUUGGGUAACACUAACUGGAGGACCGAACCGACUAAUGUUGAAAAAUUAGCGGAUGACUUGUGGCUGGGGGUGAAAGGCCAAUCAAACCGGGAGAUAGCUGGUUCUCCCCGAAAGCUAUUUAGGUAGCGCCUCGUGAAUUCAUCUCCGGGGGUAGAGCACUGUUUCGGCAAGGGGGUCAUCCCGACUUACCAACCCGAUGCAAACUGCGAAUACCGGAGAAUGUUAUCACGGGAGACACACGGCGGGUGCUAACGUCCGUCGUGAAGAGGGAAACAACCCAGACCGCCAGCUAAGGUCCCAAAGUCAUGGUUAAGUGGGAAACGAUGUGGGAAGGCCCAGACAGCCAGGAUGUUGGCUUAGAAGCAGCCAUCAUUUAAAGAAAGCGUAAUAGCUCACUGGUCGAGUCGGCCUGCGCGGAAGAUGUAACGGGGCUAAACCAUGCACCGAAGCUGCGGCAGCGACACUAUGUGUUGUUGGGUAGGGGAGCGUUCUGUAAGCCUGUGAAGGUGUACUGUGAGGUAUGCUGGAGGUAUCAGAAGUGCGAAUGCUGACAUAAGUAACGAUAAAGCGGGUGAAAAGCCCGCUCGCCGGAAGACCAAGGGUUCCUGUCCAACGUUAAUCGGGGCAGGGUGAGUCGACUCCUAAGGCGAGGCCGAAAGGCGUAGUCGAUGGGAAACAGGUUAAUAUUCCUGUACUUGGUGUUACUGCGAAGGGGGGACGGAGAAGGCUAUGUUGGCCGGGCGACGGUUGUCCCGGUUUAAGCGUGUAGGCUGGUUUUCCAGGCAAAUCCGGAAAACUAAGGCUGAGGCGUGAUGACGAGGCACUACGGUGCUGAAGCAACAAAUGCCCUGCUUCCAGGAAAAGCCUCUAAGCAUCAGGUAACAUCAAAUCGUACCCCAAACCGACACAGGUGGUCAGGUAGAGAAUACCAAGGCGCUUGAGAGAACUCGGGUGAAGGAACUAGGCAAAAUGGUGCCGUAACUUCGGGAGAAGGCACGCUGAUAUGUAGGUGAAGUCCCUCGCGGAUGGAGCUGAAAUCAGUCGAAGAUACCAGCUGGCUGCAACUGUUUAUUAAAAACACAGCACUGUGCAAACACGAAAGUGGACGUAUACGGUGUGACGCCUGCCCGGUGCCGGAAGGUUAAUUGAUGGGGUCAGCGCAAGCGAAGCUCUUGAUCGAAGCCCCGGUAAACGGCGGCCGUAACUAUAACGGUCCUAAGGUAGCGAAAUUCCUUGUCGGGUAAGUUCCGACCUGCACGAAUGGCGUAAUGAUGGCCAGGCUGUCUCCACCCGAGACUCAGUGAAAUUGAACUCGCUGUGAAGAUGCAGUGUACCCGCGGCAAGACGGAAAGACCCCGUGAACCUUUACUAUAGCUUGACACUGAACAUUGAGCCUUGAUGUGUAGGAUAGGUGGGAGGCUUUGAAGUGUGGACGCCAGUCUGCAUGGAGCCGACCUUGAAAUACCACCCUUUAAUGUUUGAUGUUCUAACGUUGACCCGUAAUCCGGGUUGCGGACAGUGUCUGGUGGGUAGUUUGACUGGGGCGGUCUCCUCCUAAAGAGUAACGGAGGAGCACGAAGGUUGGCUAAUCCUGGUCGGACAUCAGGAGGUUAGUGCAAUGGCAUAAGCCAGCUUGACUGCGAGCGUGACGGCGCGAGCAGGUGCGAAAGCAGGUCAUAGUGAUCCGGUGGUUCUGAAUGGAAGGGCCAUCGCUCAACGGAUAAAAGGUACUCCGGGGAUAACAGGCUGAUACCGCCCAAGAGUUCAUAUCGACGGCGGUGUUUGGCACCUCGAUGUCGGCUCAUCACAUCCUGGGGCUGAAGUAGGUCCCAAGGGUAUGGCUGUUCGCCAUUUAAAGUGGUACGCGAGCUGGGUUUAGAACGUCGUGAGACAGUUCGGUCCCUAUCUGCCGUGGGCGCUGGAGAACUGAGGGGGGCUGCUCCUAGUACGAGAGGACCGGAGUGGACGCAUCACUGGUGUUCGGGUUGUCAUGCCAAUGGCACUGCCCGGUAGCUAAAUGCGGAAGAGAUAAGUGCUGAAAGCAUCUAAGCACGAAACUUGCCCCGAGAUGAGUUCUCCCUGACUCCUUGAGAGUCCUGAAGGAACGUUGAAGACGACGACGUUGAUAGGUCGGGUGUGUAAGCGCAGCGAUGCGUUGAGCUAACCGGUACUAAUGAACCGUGAGGCUUAACC